UAGGAAGGGGCUGUGGCUUUCGGACUCGACAUCCCUACUGCUAGCACAGCAGGGCUCCACCACAUUGCCCAGGCUGGUCUCAAAGUCCUAGGCUCAUGCGAUCCUCCCACCUCAACCUCCCAAAGUGCUGGAACUACAGGUGUCAGCCACAGCCCCCUGUGAGGAUGCUUAAUCACUCGAGGACGGUAUAAAGGUACAGAAGAACAGCGAGCCACAGGUGGGCCUCAUCCCAUCAGCUGAAGGCCUUACAGGAACAAAGAUUGACCUCCCAGUAUAAGAAGUAAUCUGCCAGCAGGCUGCCUUUGGACUCCAACUGCAACUCUUCCCUGGGUUUCCAGCCUGCCAGCCUACCCUGCAGACUUUGGACUUGCACCUCCACAACCAUGCGUUUCCAAAAUCUGGAGAGCGGCUGUGAGUUUGCAGUGCAGUAUGGGGAGAGGCCAGAACCCACCGGAAGCCUCCAGGUGCUGCAGUGAGGAGGAGCUGGAACCCUUCUCCUCCAGGUGCCAGCUCGCGCUGCUGUGGUUCUCAUCUGUAGAGGACGUGGACCAUCCAGGGAAUC
Molecule: long non-coding RNA, 562 nt
Filed under: Homo sapiens (human)
Lineage: Eukaryota; Metazoa; Chordata; Mammalia; Primates; Hominidae
Description: HSALNT0079515
Source: RNAcentral